CCGUCACAACGGCUUCCUGACGUGGCGGGGUUUGCCAAUGGAGCA
RNAcentral lists this non-coding RNA (45 nucleotides) under unclassified sequences. RNAcentral's name for it is "SAM-SAH-Weickhmann-2018 RNA". It matches the Rfam family "SAM/SAH riboswitch aptamer". The record is from RNAcentral.